RNAcentral lists this ribosomal RNA (253 nucleotides) under uncultured bacterium. Its description in RNAcentral is "partial 16S ribosomal RNA". It matches the Rfam family "Bacterial small subunit ribosomal RNA", at positions 524 to 776 of the family's 1533-position model. The record is from RNAcentral.
GACGGAGGGUGCAAGCGUUGUUCGGAAUUACUGGGCGUAAAGCGCGGGCAGGUGGCCUUUUAAGUCCUUUGUGAAAUUCCGGAGCUCAACUCCGGAUGUGCAUAGGAUACUGGAAGGCUAGAGACUGGUAGAGGCGAGCGGAAUUCCUGGUGUAGCGGUGGAAUGCGUAGAUAUUAGGAAGAACACCAGUGGCGAAGGCGGCUCACUGGUCCGGUACUGACGCUGAGGUGCGAAAGCGUGGGGAGCAAACAGG